CAAGCGGAAUUCCAUGUGUAGCGGUAAAAUGCGUAAAUAUAUGGAGGAACACCAGAGGCGUAGGCGGCUUGCUGGGUCUUUACUGACGCUGAGGCACGAAAGCGUGGGGAGCAAACAGGAUUAGAUACCCUGGUAGUCCACGCCGUAAACGAUGAGUACUAAGUGUCGGGUAAAACUGGUACUGAAGUUAACACAUUAAGUACUCCGCCUGAGUAGUACGUACGCAAGUAUGAAACUUAAAGGAAUUGACGGGACUCCGCACAAGCGGUGGAUCAUGUUGUUUAAUUCGAAGAUACACGAAAAACCUUACCAGGUCUUGACAUUUUCUUGCGAAGUUAUAGAAAUAUAAUGGAGGUUAUCAGGAAAACAGGUGGUGCAUGGUUGUCGUCAGCUCGUGUCGUGAGAUGUUAGGUUAAGUCCUAAAACGAGCGCAACCCUUGUCGUUAAUUGCCAGCAUGUAAUGAUGGGGACUUUAACGAGACUGCCAAUGAAAAAUUGGAGGAAGGUGGGGAUUACGUCAAAUCAUCAUGCCCCUUAUGAUCUGGGCUACAAACGUGAUACAAUGGUUGAUACAAAGAGUAGCUGAAACGCGAGUUCUUAGCCAAUCUCAAAAAAACAAUCUCAGUUCGGAUUGAAGUCUGCAACUCGACUUCAUGAAGUUGGAAUCGCUAGUAAUCGCGAAUCAGC
This 687-nucleotide ribosomal RNA is filed under the name Candidatus Phytoplasma pruni. Its description in RNAcentral is "bacterial SSU rRNA". It matches the Rfam family "Bacterial small subunit ribosomal RNA", at positions 658 to 1353 of the family's 1533-position model. Lineage: Bacteria; Bacillati; Mycoplasmatota; Mollicutes; Acholeplasmatales; Acholeplasmataceae. The record is from RNAcentral.